ACUGAAUAGAUACCCGGGUAGUCCUAGCUGUAAACGGUGCACGUUUGCUGUAAGAGGAAUCGACCCCUUUUGUGGCGAAAGCUAAACGCGAUAAACGUGCCGCCUGGGGAGUACGGUCGCAAGAUUAAAACUCAAAGAAAUUGACGGGGGCCUGCACAAGCGGUGGAGUAUGUGGCUUAAAUUCGAUGCAACGCGAAGAACCUUACCUGGCCUUGACAUGCACGUAGUAGGAGCCUGAAAGGGUGACGACCUCGCAAGAGGAGCGUGCACAGGUGCUGCAUGGCUGUCGUCAGCUCGUGUCGUGAGAUGUUGGGUUAAGUCCCGCAACGAGCGCAACCCUUGUGUCCUGUUGCCACCCGGUCGAGAGACUGGAGCACUCUGGACAGACUGCCUCGCUUAAACGAGGAGGAAGGUGGGGAUGACGUCAAGUCAGGAUGGCCCUUACGGCCAGGGCUGCACACGUACUACAAUGCCCGGCACAAAGGGACGCAAGACCGAUAGGUGGAGCCAAUCCCAAAAACCGGGCUCAGUU
This 532-nucleotide ribosomal RNA is filed under the name uncultured bacterium. Its description in RNAcentral is "bacterial SSU rRNA". It matches the Rfam family "Bacterial small subunit ribosomal RNA", at positions 772 to 1293 of the family's 1533-position model. The record is from RNAcentral.